This 27-nucleotide ribosomal RNA is filed under the name Agrostis alpina. RNAcentral describes it as "partial 26S ribosomal RNA". The record is from RNAcentral. Lineage: Eukaryota; Viridiplantae; Streptophyta; Magnoliopsida; Poales; Poaceae.
GCGACACCCCGUGACGCGGGACUACAC